Molecule: non-coding RNA, 6269 nt
Organism: Linepithema humile (Argentine ant)
Lineage: Eukaryota; Metazoa; Arthropoda; Insecta; Hymenoptera; Formicidae
Source: RefSeq, a predicted model, not a curated record
AAAUCGUCUCGUCCGAUCGUCCGGAGUGAUCGUCUAAGAGUGACAAUUUUGAUCCGAAUUGCAAAAUAGAAACGUGUGAAGAGAGUUAUUAGCAGAUUAACCAAGAGAAAAGACACAAAUCCGGAAAUAGGAAUCUCUUAUUGCCGUCGUAGAGUUUGUCCUUUAAAUUUGAAGAUGCGUUCGAGAGCUCGUAAACAAUGAUAGAUUCUUGAAACUAAGCAUGCGAUAAACAAGUGAAGUCGCACAACACGCAGAAUGAACAAUUAAUAAUAAAACAUGAUGGUUAUAAGACAUGAAUGCGUUGCGAGCCGAUGUGCGUUACAUAACAUAAAUUAUAUAUACAUCGCAGAAACGGCAUUAAGACGAAAAGGAGGGAGAAAUCGGACAAGAAUCGGCGGCAAGAACAGCAACAACAACAGCAACGGCAACUUGGCAGUAGCGAGUAAACGCAAAAGCACCCUUGCUCGGCCCCGCGCGCGAUGCAAAGACGGGGUAUAAAUAAGCGGCUGUCGUUUGCGGAAGCAGAAAACGGGCAAAAGGACAGAAAUAAAGAAGAACUCGAGGAAGAAAGGGAGCCAGCGAUGGAGAAAGGAAUAAAUAAGUCGGGGCGGAAAGAGAGAGAGAGAGAGGAGGGGGAGAAGGAGUAGAGUCGGCAGUACCGGCAGUGGGCCCAGCUCUCAAGUCCCUUGUCGCUUUGCUCGACCAACGUCCCGAUCUACUACUUUUGCGGUAUACGACCGUCCUUUCGCAUUGGAAGCUUUUAUUUUCGCCGUGUGCGAAAACGCGUCCGCCGAGCCGAACAAACACAGUCUGGCAGGUGUAUCCGCAUCUCGUUAUCUGGAGAACCACGUCUCUCGGAUUAUGGCUCGGUCUCGGAGAUUUGUUCGCUGAAAAUGAAAUGCAUUGUUGGAGGUUGAGACACCCUGUAUACGUGUACGCGAGCACAUAGUGUGCAUAUAUGCGGUGACUGCAAACAGAACCGCGUAGAACAGAACGGAGCGGAACCGAAUGAAACGGAACAGCGGCGAACGCAGCGUAGAAGCGCGAGUUGACUGCAGCAGCAGGGGCGCAGCAUGUUUAUUGGCGCAUCUCACAGUCUUAAAUCUUUAUGUUGUCUCCGCGACGGGGUCUGCUAUCCCCCUGUCCCAUUGGCGAGCUUCUUCCACACGCGGAGAAAGAGGGAGAAUCUGAGGCACCGGCUACGGAAAAGGGCAAGAAGGAACGCGAAUCGGCGGUCAGGAAGAGCGAGAAAGAGGCUCUCUCAGGACACAUCGGGAGAGAUAUAUCUUCUCGGGAGAGUUGUGGUCUCGCGAAAUCGAGUCAAGAGUCGGAUAAACCAACGACCAAGAGGCGCAUCCACCGCAUUACGCACACAGAAGCUGCGAUUUUAACGUGCCUCUAGAAAUGGCCGCAUGUCAUUCCGAGGAAUAUAUCCUGUCGGUGCUAAAAGCGCAAUAUAGGUAUAAAGACGCGUUGGCGCAUGUUAUUUUCGACGAAACAGCCGUAGUGACAAUGGUCGGUGUUGUCACCGAUGGCAAUGAUUUGCUACAACACCGGAGUUUCGAGUACUUUUUGCACUUUGGACAUCCGAGAUUAUCAGCACGGCGAUCGAUGCUGCACGGAUAUCAUGAAAGCAAGGAGGGCCGCCGCCGCCGCCGCCGCCGCCGCGUCGCCUUCAUGGAGGAACGCGAAGAGGACGACGAGCGGCGUCGAGAGGACGAAGAUGAGAAGUAGAUGAGGACCCGCCACGCCGCGCCGCACCGCACCGCGUCACGGGCUUUCACAAUGUUCCCGUUUCGCGCCGUCAAGCGGUGCGCGUGCAUCCUCGGAGACGGCGAAGUAUCGCGCUGCGGAUCGUUAAACGACAGACGAUUUCGCGUCGCACGGACGUUACUCGACAGGAGACACGAUGAGCAUCAUCGUUGUGAGUGAUCGUUCUUACGUUCCUUUGUGCGAGUGAAUCACUGAGAAAACAAGCGAAGAAAAAAAAAGAAAAAGAAAAGAAAACGAAACCGGACCAAGAGAGGGAGUGAGUGCAUCAACGCAUUUGUGUGAAAUGGAUGGUACGCCAAGGAAAAGCGAAGCAGUGCUAAUAUAUGGAUGCCCAUGGGUGGAACUUGGCCGAAAUGUGCCAGCGCUACCAUCACGCUAUACCGGCGGCAGCGGCGGCGCAGAAUUCUUCGCCAGCUAGGGAUCACUCGACUGCCAUCGCGCAGGGCCUGUCAACCGCCGUGCACAUCGAUCAAACCAGUCCAUCUUAUUCUCACUAUACGAUGCUGGACAAUUAUGACAGGGGUGAGGUGACGCCACCACCGCCGGUGAGCGGUUACGGCGGCUCGCCCGGACUCCUGGCACUUCAUUCUUCGCUUUACGCGACUCCCACAUCGAGGGCUUACGACAUCGACUCCGGUAUCGACGGUAACGACAGCUCGAUGCCCAUCGAUACUCAAAUCAUCUCGAUACCGAGCAUGCUGAGCGGUCCGGCGGCACAGCAGCGGCUGGAGGACAUGCCGUGGCUCGCGGCUUCCGGCCCGUCGCUGGAAUACCAGCAGGGCAUCUCGCCGAUUCCCGCGGGAGUGAAGAUGUGCCAUCCCGGCGGCGGUAGCGCUCAGAGGAGCCUGAAGGAACAACGGAUACGUCGGCCGAUGAACGCGUUUAUGGUCUGGGCGAAGGUCGAGCGCAAGAAAUUGGCCGACGAGAAUCCGGAUCUCCACAAUGCCGAUCUCAGCAAGAUGCUCGGAAAGAAAUGGCGAGGGCUAACGCCGCAAGACAGAAGGCCGUACGUCGAGGAGGCCGAGCGCCUCCGCGUUAUACACAUGCAGGAGCAUCCGAAUUACAAGUACCGGCCGCGGCGUAGGAAGCACGCGAAACGGACACCCGGUGCACCGUCCUCGCCAACCUCGGCGACCAACACCGCGGGCAGCAGGUCCAACCCGGCGGGUCCGACGAUUCAUCAUUCCAUGUCCAAGAUGGACAGUUACCAAGGCAUACCUCAGAUCCCUUGGGGUGGCCACUCCCCGAUCUCAUCCCUUUAUCACCAGCAGCAGCAGCAAGGUAUUCAGGAGUACAAAUCGGAAAACAACUCGCUUUACGGCAGCCCUUACACGCCCAUUAUCCACACUCCGGACAUAUCUCCAGUGGCCAGUCCUGAGCCUGACGGCGACGGCGGGCAUCUACCGUCACAAAAUCCGGAUUCGGAACGGGAUCUGAUGGAGGGCACGUCGAAGCAGCACGGAGAUAUGACGGAUCAGGCGAAACGAUACACCUUCAUGAGCAGCGACAAUCAACUGCACACGGGUCACGCUAGUAACACUAGCAUAUCGUCCUGUCAGAAUUCCGGCGGUUAUACGGAUACUUUAACGUACAAAAAAUCCGUGGGCUAUUUGAACUUUGAAAGACAAUCCACGAGCAUAGCCGCGGUGGGCAUAGCGAACGGUAUGAUGGUGUCGUGCAACAAGUUGCGCUCCGGCUUCGACAACGUCGGUUCCGUCACGGGCACAUUUUAUCCGCCGGUCGCGUCGCCGCACGAUCAAUCGCUGCAACAUUACAGCAACACGCAAUCGUCCAAGAGCACGAACUAUUCGAUGCAGUCCACCGUCGAGAGCAAUUAUAAUCCGAUCCAGUGCAAUCGGCAGCAGUCCAUAGGAAUCCGCGGAGCCGCUGACAAUUGUUCCGGCGCAGUGACGCACCGGUAUCAAAUGCCGCACCAUCAAGAGUAUCAGACGGACGCGUCCUCCGGCAGUGCUCAGCAGCAACAGCAGCACACGAUCCUCGGCGGCCACAUCAAUCCCGUCAUGAGCGCCGAGGAUGAUCAGCAGCAGCAGCUGCAGCUGGAAAAGUAUUUCAAGUAUUCGCAUCCGACGAGCGUGGCACACUCGAGCUUGUCCUCGCAGAGUAUGCUGGACAGCAAUCAUAAUUACGCCAGCGAUCUGCGCUACUAUGGCGCACCGCCGCAGUCGCAACUGGACAUGCCGAAUUCGCAGUGCAUCGUCGACGAGGGCGGCAAGGACGCCCGUUGCUCCAACGUUGCGAUUGGUCACGCCAUGGAGCAGUAUCAUCCGAGCCUGGAAGUAUCCAAAUAUCCGGACCAUUCGACCUCGCAACAGCAUCCGCAAUCACAAUCGCAGCAGCAGCAGCAGCAGCAGCAGCAGCAGCAGCAGCAGCAGCAGAGCAUGGAGCAUGUGACCAAGGCCGACGACGAUUUCAGUGUUAUACUUGCGGACGUACGCAAGACCUGCUACAGUAGCUAGUGCCUUUUCUUUAAAGUGCACGGGACGAUCUGCGUGAUUCGACUUGGAUGUAUGCAUCCCCGUGCGGCGGACUCUUCCUUCGAUCGGAAAGAACGCUCGUGUACAUUUUACGUCAUCGCAUGGUUGGUGCUAUCUCGAAAUAUAUCAAAGCAUUUUUAUCUCUCCGUGAUAGAAGGUAUGUUUUUUUUUUCAUUAAUUUUGAAAAUAGUAUUUUAGUUUCGUAUGUUUUUACGAGCGAGAGAUAUUGUUCGCAACUCGAUUUUAUGCAAUUCUAGCACCGGCAAUUCCAGAGUUUAUUUUACAAGUUUUAUUUUCUAGAGAAUUUUAUCUAUGGCUGAGUAUCUCAUAUGUAUAAGCACGAUCUCUUAUGAAUUUCAGUUCAACUGAAAUUAUAUUCAUGCAAGUCAGUGGUGUACAAAUGUCGCCUGUCAAUGAGCUGCAAGUCAAGUUCUACGCUCGGCUGCUUAGAAGGAUGCGACAAUAGGUAGUGAGGGUCUAUCAAGGAAGUCGUGCCGGGUACAAUUCUCCUCAGCACCAUUAACACAUGCAUCUUCUAUUCACAGUACAGUACUUGCUGACUAAACGACAUCAAAUAUUGCUAGAUAUUGAUCGCAAACGUUUCGCAAACAUCGGAUUACAAGCGUAAGUAUACAUACGUAUUUCUUCUCGCUUAAGACAAUUUUUCUCUUAUUGUAAAUGCGAUGUGUUACAUGUACAAGUAACGUGAAGGAUUUCAGAGAGCAAUGGCUUAAAUGUUAAAUGGACAGAUUUUGCAGUCUUGUUCACAAUGGUACACUAGAUAUGUACUCUCUCAUUGAAACGUGCAAAGACAUUCUUUAUAAAUACUUACAGUAUUAAUACAAAUUGAUAAUAAUUCUUAUAAAGUCUCGCACGCGAUACUGCAAAUCUUGUAUAGACUGUACAAUUCUCGACUAUUAACACAGAUUUAUAUAUAUAUAUACAUUGUCUAGAUCGUCGUUAGAUAUUUAUCGUUAUUUGUGUCUCAGCAUACGUGCCUGCAUUAUGUACAAUUGGAACUUAUAAUGUACACACAUACAAUGUAUAAAUGGCAGCUUUACAAGUCUCAGUAUAAAAUUUUCUACAUACAUUUUGUCAAAGAAAUUAUUUCUAGACGAGAUAUAAAGUAAAACAUUUUUGUGCUUCGAGUGGAUUAUUUGUAACAUAUAUAAUUCGUAUGAAAAAUAUUCUAAGUAAAAAUUACCGGGUAUAUAAACUGGAAUGAUUUCGUUUAUCAUAGAUGUAAAAAACAUAACAAUCGGGAAUGUUAGAUAAACUCAGUGAAAGUGAAAGAAACAUCUGUGGUAAUUUUUUGGAACAUAUAAUAGUUAAUCAUAAGAACGUUCUAUAUGUUCCAAAAAAUUAUCGCAGAUACUUUUUAAAUAUAUUUACAGAUAUUUCUUAUCCGGAAGUAGUUUUGUAUCCUUUUUAAUUUGCUAUAGGAAAGUACAUUCUAAAUUCUGCAAAAGUAGAAUUAAAAACGAUAUUUUAAAUUAAAAUAUUUUAAUACAAAUGUUGGAAUGUAUUGAGCUAUGAUUCCCAUAUAAGUUAAACAAAAAAAUUAUAAAUGUUACAAAUAUCCACUCAAUAAAAUAUAUGUGUGUGUGUGUAUAUAUGUGUGUGUAUGUGUGUGUGUAAAUUAUAUUUGAUAAAAUCUUUCUAUAAACAAGAAAUGGGUGAACUUUUUAAACAUUUAGUUGUGAAUUGUUCUGAAUUGAAUUGUUCAUAAGAAUUAAAUACAACUCCUUAAUAUAAUCUCCUUUAAAACUUAAUUCAUUAUUAUUAUGUUUUCAGAAUCUCCAGCAUUUGUAUAAAUCUAAUAUAAUCUUGUAACAAUAUAUUAAUUUUCUUUGGCUUCAAUUACGUAUAUAAUUGAAAACAAGUAUUGAAAUGAAACAAGAUAAUUUCGCUAUUCCAACAUAUAUCCAGAUUUAUAUUAAUAUUUAUAAAACAUGUAAAUUUUAAUCAAUUUAUCACAAAAUGUCUAAAAUUAUUUUAAUG